Molecule: long non-coding RNA, 472 nt
Filed under: Homo sapiens (human)
Lineage: Eukaryota; Metazoa; Chordata; Mammalia; Primates; Hominidae
Description: HSALNT0360715
Source: RNAcentral
UGCUCUUCUGCUCGGUUGCAUCCAUUCUGGGAAAGUCGGGUAUUGAAGUCUCCAGAUUAAUACGGUUGAAAGCAAGAAUUCCAAACUUCAAAACUAAGCAGUCUCUGAAGAAUGGAGAUGGCAGGCGUUCUGCUCCCUUACAGCAGCUGGUAGAAUCAAGACCCAUGGGUCCAUGGAGGAAAAGGGGAAGAGCCUCUGUCCUUUGGACCCCUGAUCCCGGGGUUUCCUCUCACACUCCCAUCAUCGCCGUCUCCUCUGUGUGCUGUGCUUAUCAGCCCUGUGGGCUCCAUGGACAUCUCAUGUGCCUGGGAGGCUGCUCUCCUUGUCCUGUGGAUCCAGUUCUUGGCAGCCCCACUCUCAGGAGCACAGGAGUCCUGAGAGCCUCCUUCUGCCCAUCCAGAUGCCCACACACCUGACCAGGAGUGCACUGCUUGUUCUGACAUAAAAAAUGUAGAGAGAGCCACAGCUUGCC